UCCAGACUCCUACGGGAGGCAGCAGUGGGGAAUAUUGGGCAAUGGGCGCAAGCCUGACCCAGCAACGCCGCGUGAAGGAGGAAGGCUUUCGGGUUGUAAACUUCUUUUCUGAGGGACGAAGAAAGUGACGGUACCUCAGGAAUAAGCCACGGCUAACUACGUGCCAGCAGCCGCGGUAAUACGUAGGCGGCAAGCGUUAUCCGGAUUUAUUGGGUGUAAAGGGCGUGUAGGCGGGAAAGCAAGUCAGAUGUGAAAACUCAGGGCUCAACCCUGAGCCUGCAUUUGAAACUGUUUUUCUUGAGUGCUGGAGAGGCAAUCGGAAUUCCGUGUGUAGCGGUGAAAUGCGUAGAUAUACGGAGGAACACCAGUGGCGAAGGCGGCCUGCUGGACAUUAACUGACGCUGAGGCGCGAAAGCGUGGGGAGCAAACAGGAUUAGAUACCCCAGUA
RNAcentral lists this ribosomal RNA (448 nucleotides) under uncultured bacterium. Its description in RNAcentral is "bacterial SSU rRNA". It matches the Rfam family "Bacterial small subunit ribosomal RNA", at positions 330 to 792 of the family's 1533-position model. The record is from RNAcentral.